UCAGGAUGAACGCUAGCUACAGGCUUAACACAUGCAAGUCGAGGGGCAGCAUGUUGGUUGCUGCAACCAAUGAUGGCGACCGGCGCACGGGUGAGUAACGCGUAUCCAACCUUCCCCUUAGUAGAGGAUAGCCCGGCGAAAGUCGGAUUAAUACUCUAUGUUCUUCAAUGCGGACAUCUAAGUUGAAGCAAAGAUUUAUCGCUAAGGGAUGGGGAUGCGUCUGAUUAGGUUGCAGGCGGGGUAACGGCCCACCUGGCCUACGAUCAGUAGGGGUUCUGAGAGGAAGGUCCCCCACACUGGUACUGAGACACGGACCAGACUCCUACGGGAGGCAGCAGUGAGGAAUAUUGGUCAAUGGGCGCGAGCCUGAACCAGCCAAGUAGCGUGCAAGGACGACUGCCCUAUGGGUUGUAAACUGCUUUUAUCAGGGAAUAAAGUGAGGCACGCGUGCCUUUUUGUAUGUACCUGAUGAAUAAGGACCGGCUAAUUCCGUGCCAGCCGCCGC
RNAcentral lists this ribosomal RNA (505 nucleotides) under uncultured bacterium. RNAcentral's name for it is "bacterial SSU rRNA". It matches the Rfam family "Bacterial small subunit ribosomal RNA", at positions 24 to 518 of the family's 1533-position model. The record is from RNAcentral.